CAUGUAUUGCUACAAUGAUAUCAGAAUCAACAGAUGCAGGAACUAUUAGUGUUGCUAUUGCUGUACCUAUCACUGGUCUAUUAACUGGACUCAUUACUGCAGUAAUUACUAGUAUCAUUUGUUUAAUAAUGAGGAAAAAGGGAAGGACUACCAGCUCUAAAGAAACAGACCUGUGUGGCCCUGUAUAUGAUUUACCAGUAGUAGAUAAUAAACAAUCAGAAGAAAAACACAUUGAUGUUCAACGAAACACUGCAUAUGGACAAGCAUUCUGAUAAAAUAAUUUUAAAAGUGAAAAAAAUUAUAUGGUCUUACAUAAUUAAUGAUUAUACAGUCCAGUUCCCUCAAUAACACCAUA
This is a long non-coding RNA of Amphimedon queenslandica, 355 nucleotides long. RefSeq lists it as uncharacterized. The record is from RefSeq and is a predicted model, not a curated record. The transcript is spliced from 2 exons. Lineage: Eukaryota; Metazoa; Porifera; Demospongiae; Haplosclerida; Niphatidae.